GCGCUGCACUGAGCCAGCGAGUGGGAGCGGCCAGCUUCAGCCGCAUGAGAAGCGGCUCUGUCCGGCUCUGCAGCCAGGCCCGGCUGCCAGGGAGAGCGGCUGAAUGUGCCGGGGCAAGGGGAGGCACAGCGGGAGAAGAACAGAGGUCCCGCCCUGGAGGUGCUGUUUUGUGUGAUGCUGCCUGGUGAUUGGAUACUAUCAACUGUACACAGUAAUGAAAGAUAUUAGAUUACUAUUGGCUAUUAUUAAUAUUUCAUAUAUGUCAAAAAGAUAAACUUGUUUGAGAGCCAGGUCCAUCUAACCCUCGGCAUUGACAGUCAAGUCUGCAAGUGUGCACUUCAGCUGCAAGACCACUGCUCUCUUGGAAAACUAAGUGCAGGGAACUUAGUGGCCCAAGAGGCAAAGUAUCAUGCAAGAUGUUUGGUGUCUCUCUACAACAAAGUCAGGGAGAAGAAAACUGAGCAAAGUAACACAGAGAAGCUGUUGCAUGCGAUUGCCUUUGCUGAACUGAUAGCAUACUUCGAAGAGGCAAGACUGAAAGAAGAUGUGGCUCCAGUCUUUAAACUAGCAGACCUCACAAGGCUCUAUAACUAUAAGCUAUAGUAGAAUAGCGAAGGGUAAUGCUGGCUGGGUGCAUUCCGAGUACUGAACUAAAAACUCAUAUCCUUUCACACAGUCCAGAUCUCCAAGCACACAAAAAGGACAUGAUGUGCUCCUUGCCUUCAACCAUGAUGUUGGACAUGCCUUCCAAAAAACAUGUGAAGAAGACUGACAAAGAAGCACUUCACCUAUCCCAAAUAGCAAAAAAUAUUCAAAGUGACAUGUUUCAAAUGAACACAGUUUACUGGAUCAUUUGACCCAGGAUGCCAAGCAAAAUCUGUGCCUGAGUCACUGUUGGCACUGAUGUCCAUGAUAUUGGAUGGUCCAAACAUUAAAACUCAAUCAGAACAAGUUUCCAUUCGUCCAGCUACCCUUAUUUUGGCACAACUAUUGUAGUAGAACAACAACAUCCGUCACUGUGAAGGAACAGAAAGUUUGCACCACAACAAAGUCUACAUUCGUUUAACACUUCAUGCACAGACAUGAAAAAGUGAACUAGUAGAUACAUUCUUUAAACUUGGAUUGUCCACCUCCUAUGACAGAUGUUGGCUCUCUCUACCAGCAUGGGAAACAGCUCAUACCAACACUUUGAGGAUGAGACUGUAGUCCGUCCUCUAAAGCUUUGUGGUGGUCUGUUCACCACAGCAAUAGUCAACAUAGACCACAAGCCCAACUCCACCACAGCAACAGACUCCUUCUCUGGAACUAGGAUAUUACCUUUUCAGCAUCCCAGUACUCAGGUGGAGGGAGCUGUGCAAGGAAUUUCCACCCCGGACUGUGAGACUGCAGCAUCAGUGAAGAAGACGAUCAUCACUUCCUGAGUUUUACAGUUAUCCUUCCAUUCGUCUUGAAGAUAACUAAUGCUCCCAUCCCUGCCACAAAUGUUGAAAUCAAGAUUGACUGCUAACUGAUUACCUAAGCCCUACAAGAAGAAUGCAGGUGGCUUGAACAAGUAAGGCAAGCAGCAAUGGAGAUCAAGACAUUUCCCAGGCAGCUUACCUUGCCAGCAAACAGCCAGUGCCAGAUUUUGCCUCGGCCAUCACUGCAUUUCUUCUCCUCUUUCCAGAUGACUCCAAGUCUGUGGCAAUGAUUCAUCACACCCUAGAUGUGAUAAGGAAUGCUGUACACCACAUAAAGUCAUGCCAAGUGCCAGUGAUCACUGUAGAUGAUCCUCUUUUCACCAUAACCAAACAAAUAUAAUGGACCAGGCCUUCUGGGUAUGGAGAAGACAAAUUUGUCAUUAUGCUGGGUGAUCUUCUUCUGGAAAUGGCAAGUCUAAAUCUGAUUGGAGAUUGGCUAGAAGACAGUGGAUCGACAAAAUCCCUUGUUCAGGUCAAAGUAGCCUCCCCAGGAAUGGCUGACACCUUCUUGAAAUUGUCUCAUGUCACACAUACUAGGAAUGCCCACCAAGUAACUAUCAGCAGUCUCUACGUCUUUCUCCAGAAUGCACACACGCAGUAUACCCAAAAUCUCGGGGAAGAUGAGGUCCCCAAGGGGUAUAAUAAAUGGUGCGACAAGCAAAAACUAGAAAACCUACUGUUCCACUUCUCGCAUACCACGCUUCAACUGGAGCUUCUUGUAUUGACCUAUGUGCUGUCAAUCUGCCAGGCAAACUUUGCUCUCUACAUUGAAUGCCUUGGAAAGCUGUCACCCUGGUUCUUGGCAUUGAGUGCCUGUUCACCUCUGAGAUAUGGUAAGCCUUCACACAGUGAAUCCAGACACAGGUAGAGAGUUCCUAAAGUGAAACUUCACAGUUCACUAGACACAGAAUGUUUUCUCCGCAAUCACACUUGAUGAACUUCAUGAACAAAAUAAUGCUGUAAUCAAAGGGGGUGGUGGAGCUGUUGGUCUAACACAAAGUCUAGAGGCCCUCAGCACUGGAUUAUAGCAGGACCAGUGGUGGGCAGGUUGACAGGAGAAUUUUAAGCCACAGAAGAAAGAGGAAUCAACAGAAAAGGGUCUAAUACAAAGCACUGUGAGCAGGUGAAAGGUGUCCAGGCAUCUUUUGCAGAACAUGUCAAGGCACUUGGUGAGGUCAUAGAAGACAUGGACAAUCCCUUCUCAGAAGAGAGUGUAGACUUUAUUAAACUGGACACCAGAGACAUUGCAGAUCCUGCUGCGAUUGUCUCUGUUAGGGAAU
Trachemys scripta elegans is the source of this 2740-nucleotide long non-coding RNA. RefSeq lists it as uncharacterized. Lineage: Eukaryota; Metazoa; Chordata; Testudines; Emydidae. The record is from RefSeq and is a predicted model, not a curated record. The transcript is spliced from 2 exons.